GUGACCCUUUUCUUUUGUGUCAUAAAAUUUGUUCCCACCAGCCUGCCAUGAUCCCUGUAGCUCCUUCAAAAGGUAAGUGACAAGUGCAAGCAAUUGUUGGAGGGAAUUCUCAUGAGCCAUUAUGGUGUCCAGACCUCCUCAAAGAACAUCUCACUGUUCAUUGGAUAGGCUGCGUUUGCAAAAGACACUUGCUCUCUUCCUGGUCAGGUGAAUUCAGCUCAAUGCCUCCGCCGCCCCCUUGCAGGUUGUAGCCCACUAGGAUUGGACAAUACCUGUGUCCUGUUGCUGGCCUGGCCAUCGAGCAGAGGGGAACUCUGGUCUUUGAGGUUCCAUCUGGGUGUCAUGGCUAACAGCCAGUUUUUAAGAACGGGAGAAAGACAAAUGUGACUUAUGGGCAGCACAUUUGAUGUCAUCCUCUGUGGCAAGUCAUGGUGGUGCCUGAAACAGAAUUUAAAAUGCUAUCCCAUUUCUACUGUUUACAUAAUUCCUGCAUAGGCUUCACUGAAAUGCACAAGUUAUGUAGCCCAAAUUCGUUUCAGUGAGACUUGUGCAAGAAAAUUUCCCAGGGAUUUGUGUUCCAUGUUAAAUAGUGGGAUGUGAAUUCUCUUUCAGGUAGCAAAAUGACUUGGGACUGCUAAUAACAUUUGCUGUAUCCCAUCUUCUAGGCUGGUACAAUUCGGUUCCCUGCAGACAUCAUUUGCACUUUUAUUCAUAUUAAAAUGUACAAGCUGUGUUUUGGCUUUAAGGGGCUCUAAAGCAAUGCACGACGAGUAUAAAAUGAAUACACAAAUUUUAAAAGCAAGAAAUGUGCUAAAACAUUCAGCAGCACAAAAAGCAAAAGGAGAGUUCAUUCAGCGAGCGGAGCCAAAGAGUGAAACUGUGAGUAGGUGUGUAAAUCGGAGCUUAUGUCUAUGGUUUAUCUCUGAAGCUCAUAGUAGAAGUAUAUAGAUUGAUUUGACAUAAAUAGGACAUGAGAUUCUGCAUUGUGAACCUUGCUUGAUCUUGGUAGAAGUCAGAUACCAGCCUCAACUCCAAACACAUCCUGAAGGCAUUCAGGCAUAUCCUGAGUUCCUCACACUUUGCAUAAAGGUCAAUGCAUGUAAAUAAAGUUGCUAAGUAUGCUGUAUUCAGACUCCCAAAUGGUGAGGCAGACAACAGGCAAAAGGUAGCCAGUUCAGGUCACUAGGAUGACUUUCACUCAAAACACUGAACUUGCAAGAUGGGCGAAGCAGGCAAGAAAUUCUGGGAUAAAUUCAAAAGCACAAUAAAGCCAGCUGUUCAUCUCAAGCCCCCCCCUCCACUGGCAUGCCUUGACCAGAAGGGUAUAAAGCAGGGGUGCCCAAACUUUUUUUCAAAGAGGGCCAGAUUUGAUGAAGUGAACACGCGUGAGGGCCGACCAAAGUUGUUGAACUUUUUUAGGAUUGAAGUUGCUUUUUGGGGGAUUUUACUCCAGGAAAUAAACUGCCACAGGGGCCGGAUUAGGUCCCCAAAACGGACUUUGGACAUGCCUGGAAGGAAUCCUAAAAUUUGUAAUCAGUGGCUCUCCUAGCUCCAACGAUGACCUUCAUUCAGAGCUCACAAGGACACACAUAUGCUUAGAAACAGGUAUACUCUCCUUCCCUCCACCUCCAUUUCUUAAAUUAGUGCUCACUUCUGUGGAAUUUUGAGAACGAGUAGGGAUUAUUCCACUCUUUAGAUCAAGGUGUGUAUGUAUGGUAGGAUUUGCUGCCAUCUUAAACUGUAAUUUCACUGUCUGAAACAAGCUUUCUUAGUCAACGUGUCAAUAUACAGCUGUUUGCUUGCCUCUAAAAAUUACUGGGUCACCAGUCUGGCAUUUAAGAGGUCUUCAGGAUUACCAGUCCAGAAUAAACUACUGGAUAUCAGGUGUUUUAUUUAGACAAACACAUAUUCACAAAUGGGCACACGUUGUAACUCCAGCCAAAGAUCUCAAACCUCUCAUUGUGUGUGUGAAUACAUGUCUGUGCUGGACAUGCAUGUUGGUUCAGAUACCUGCUGUAACAAGACUAAUCAGAGGGAGCAAAUCAACCCACUAUUGAAGGCCUAGUGAAACAAUCCACACACACAAGGUAAAAUCGUGCACCGCCUCUAGAUGGUUCUAGAGGACCAAUCACAUCAGCAUACACCCGCUGAAAUGCUCUGUCGACCUUCUUGGUCUUAGUCACCUUCCUGGUGCUCACACUGGUCAUGGUCGCCCUGCAAGAGAGAUUUCGUUAGAAACAGAAGAAUUACAUUUCAUGUAAUCACUUUGAUCAAAAGUCAACAAAUACAGUCCAUCUUUCUCUUUGGCAGUAAGAAACAGUUCUCCAUCUUUGUAGAUCUUGCAGCUUUUAGCAUCAUAGGACAGUUUCAGUCCUUUCUUUGCAAUCUGCGACACGCUCAGCAGAUUAAAUCUCAGUUCUGGAACCAGGUAAACAUCACUUAUAGUCAAGUUCAGACUUUCAAGAUACACAGUCCCAAUUCCAGUUGCUUCCAGCUCCUGACCGUUGGCCUGUUUCACAGUGAAGCUUUGCUUCUUCAACGUCGAAAACAGUCCUCUGUGCGGGCACAUAUGAACCGUUGCGCCCGUGUCAAUUAUGAACGAGUUCCCAACAUCUGGCGUGGUUCCUUUCGCCAUCAUAGCCUUUGCAGGUUUCACCUGGCACUUGGUACGGCUUUUGCCUGACGCCUGAGGCUUCGUAGAGCUGCUCUUUGCUCCUCUUGACUGGCGCGGCUUCUUACAGUUUCGCUGUAGAUGCCCAGUCUGUCCACAAUUGUAGCAUCGGACAGCACUCAAUGCUACACCAUGCUCUCCAGUAGCAUCAGCAGUGGGGAAUUAGAACUCUGUUCUUCCCUCCCCUGUCUUUUCUUCCAGUGCAGCAAGUCUGUCGUGUUCAUUCAGGACCACAGCACAAACUCUCUCCGCGGUCAGCUGCGCGGCCGGUAGGGAACCAAGCUGACUGGCAACAACCUUGUAGGUGCGGCUAAGGCUGUUUAUCAUCAUGAAGCAAAACACUUCCUCCUGAAGACGAAAAUUGCGUUCCACCAUCUGUUGACGCAGAAACUUCAUUUCUGUCAGGUGCGCUUGAACAUCUCCAUCAGGCGCAAGUCUCAGAUUGGUCAAUUUCUCAAAAUACAGCAACGCUGAAGAACCAGCAUCUCUCUGAUGCGUUGUACGCAGCGUGUCCCAUACCUCUUUCGCAUUUUCUAAAUGCUGAACAUGCACCAACUGAUCAUCUGAGACACACAGAAUUAUAGCAGUCCUGGCCCUUACAUUCUGUGACUCCCAACCUCUGGUUGGUGCUGCAGGGAUGGGGUUUUCGAUUACAUCAAAAAGCCUCUGAUUCUGCAGCAGGGCCUUCAUCUUUACAGACCAAGAUGAAUAAUUGUCAUUGGUUAAGGGAGGUGGGCAAGGCAAACCUCCCCCCUUUCUUGGCAUCCAUCUUGAAGCCAAGCCUCCAGCUCACAAUGUCAAACAAACUGUAAAAUCCAACAGUUGUUUGUUUCUUUUCUCACGCAGCAAACUGCAAAUUGUUUACGCUCUUUGCACCUGGCAGCUAAACUCAGGCUGCUAUUGAAAAGUCCCUUCCAAGAGCUCGUAAACCUUGUAGCCAAAACAUUCUCUGGUUUUGUUUCGCUUCCCAGGCUUACACUCAGAGUCCAGCCCCUUGCCAGUAACUUUCCAGGACCGUUGCCUAGCAACAAUGCAUUUCAAUGGGACUCCUUAUCUACCACAAAAAUUUGUGGAAUGCAGGCUUCAGCCUUCAAGCUGCAGGCCUCUUCCUCUCGGAGCUUUUGUUUUCUUUGAAACGCAGCUCCGUGAACCAGGGAAUUAAUCUUCCUGCGUUCACACUUUUAGCCCGAAAUGCAGCAUACCUUGAACUUUGUUGCUCUGGAAAACACCUCUUCUUUCCACCAGCUGUCUGUGGAGCCUCUGGCUUCUUUCAGACGCUUCUAUUCCUCCUUAGGAGCAGUGGAGGACAAUCCACCAGCCUCUCAUGCAGAUGUCCGAUGAAUCGCAACCAUCCUCUGCUACCACUGUUGGAAUUCUGCAUGGGUCAGAGGAAUGUGCCACAGCGUAGGCACCGGCAGAUAUUCCUGUCGACCUCCCCGCGUCUCCACUCUGCUGAUAAGCAGGCGAGGUCCAGCGAUUCUUCUCAGAUGUAUGAGAGGAACACACCGUUCUUCCUCUCUCCCUUUGGUGUCCCCAGGGAGGGAAAGAAGCAGACAGAAAACUAUUUACAUCAUUUAUUUCUGCCUCUUACAUCAGUACAGAGAAUCAUGUCUGCACUCAACAACAGCAAGACGAAACUCCUCCCAAGUACAUCCAGUACGGGUCAUAUGACACACACACACUGAGCUAACAUCCGGUGCUCAGUACAGAAUGGACUGCCCCUUUGUUCCCAUGGCAACAGUCACAAACAUCCUGUCUGGCUUUCCAGCCACAAGCAGCUGGCUGAGCUGCUAGAGCCUUUGCUUGCUGCAGCAUUGGUGCUUUAUAGUAACAUCUUCACCAUCUUCUUAAAGGUUUGCAGGAAAAGGGCUAGACAAGUCUCCCAAGUUUCAGAGUUGGUAUGCUCACUGGGGGUGGGCAAGCAAGAUCAUGGGGGAGUAGAAUCUGUUGGGCGUAGUUUAUUUUUUCAUUUAUAUAUACUAUAGUGGGUAACUUUCCAUCGCGUUAUAGAUGAAAACCAGCAACUGUGUAAACAAUACACCUCUCCACUAGCGCGUUGUAGA
This is a non-coding RNA of Podarcis lilfordi (Lilford's wall lizard), 4734 nucleotides long. The record is from the annotation of a GenBank genome assembly. NCBI's taxonomy places the organism in Eukaryota, Metazoa, Chordata, Lepidosauria, Squamata, Lacertidae.